RNAcentral lists this transfer RNA (79 nucleotides) under Streptomyces eurythermus. RNAcentral's name for it is "tRNA-Gly". The record is from RNAcentral. Lineage: Bacteria; Bacillati; Actinomycetota; Actinomycetes; Kitasatosporales; Streptomycetaceae. RNAcentral also lists the same sequence under 1 other name.
CCAGGGUGUGGCCAACGCGGUGGGCAUGGCGAUGGCCGCCCGCUACGAGCGCGGUCUGUUCGACCCGGACGCGCCGGCC